UAAAAUAUCACUAGUCUUAGCAAAAACAAUCACUAUUCUUUCUAAUAUCUAAAAUAUCAAGUCGAUUAAAGUGAAAGCGGUUGGAAUAUUAACCUCCUGCUAAAAGAGUAAGGCACCAUAUACACUUCAAAACAGAGGCCUACAGAAAAUGAAGAGCUCAGCUAGUCCAUUUCAUUAAAAAAAAGCAGCAGCCUUUAUAAUACUGAUGCUUAUAUAACUAAUUCUUAUAGAAGGAAAAAAAAAAUAAAGGAAUGUGAUUAGUCCAGCACAGAAAGCUUUUGGUACUCUUCUCCAGAGAUGGCAGCUUCCAUGACGGACACAGGGUCUACAGAACCAUCCCCAUCCAAGAACACCUUCAUCAAAUUUUUUGAAUACCCACUUACCAACGCCACCCCUUUUUGCGUUGCAGGUACUGGUGUAGCCCUCGAAUAUCUCAAAUUCCAAAACACAGCUUCUGGGAUCACGUUUUCAUACCCUUUCUCUCUGAAUUUCGUCUCUAUCACUUUAUAGUCUGUUUCCCAAGGUCUUGAUGAUGCUUCAUCAAACUCCAUAUCACUGAACACAAAUACCCUCUUUAUCAUCUCAUCCUCCUUCAAUUUCCCAUCAACAGCCACUUUCAGGAUGAGGUCAAACACCUUUUGGAAAUCAGUGUUACAUCCCCAAUCCAUGCUUCUCACAAACUCUGUCUUCGCCCUAAGACUAUCUCCUUGGACCAUUUGAAGAGUAGGUCUUUCACUGAAAGUAAUAACCUUUCCUCUCCAUGGCUCCUCGCUCAGUUCAGAAACUAACACACCCAAUGCUACAGAUACCUCCAUUGGUAUCCCACUCAUGCUACCAGACACAUCACAAAUAGCCAUACAGUUUUUCAACUUCCCCUUCUGGACAAGAUCAUCCACCAUUCUUUUCCAUUGCAGCUCUGCCACUUGCCCACCAUCAUCAUCAUCCAAAGCCAUAAUUAUCUCAUGAGGAAACAAAGCGCCCGCUGCGAUCUUGGCCUUCCCAGAUUCCACAUCCUUUAAAUACUUGGAGAAACGCUCAGCGUCAUGUUUCAAGAACUUCUCCUUGUAAAAUUUCAUAGCCACAGAAGCAACCCGAUUGUAUGGAAUAUCACCCCAUCUGUUAUGCCCAAUAUACACUUCUGGUAACUCCAGAACCUUUCGAAGCGGCACUAAAACCUCCUUCCUCAAUCGAUCCCGAAUCCUAUAAGCGUAAUGUGCCUCUUCGAUUCCUUCAUAUUCAGGAUAGGAUUCUCUAGGAAAUAUCUUCCUCGCAAUACCCUCACAAAGCAAAGUUGAUCGAUCAAAAGAAGAGUCGAUCGACGGGCACCAUUUAGCAGCAAGGCUCACCUUUGUCGUCUGACCAGAGUUGAGGUGCUCCAUAUCUGUUUUCAGGCACUCAGCGAAGAAGUCCGUGACGUGCUCGUAUAGGAAUCGGAAAUCAGGGUCUCGGCUAUAUCUCUCAAAAACCUUCUUGGCCAUGGCUACUUUCUUCUCUUUCCUGGCCACGCUUGCUUUCUCUUUCUCAAUUUUGUUCCUUUGCAUAGCGUUCGAGAUCCUUAUCUGUCUGGUCACAGUGGGCUUUGCUCGCCUUGAUCGCUUAGACCGUUUGCUUUUGGUUCGGUGUUGAAACGGACCUCGAAAUGUCGAAAGCCUAAAUUUAAAACUGUUUCCUUUCCUUUUGCCCCCCCUUUUUCUCUGCUCCCACUGUGCUUUUUGGAUCCUCCUCACAUCAUAUCCCUCCAGAAGACGGUAAAGAAUCUCGGGCAAGUCCUUGAAAUAACCGAAAUUCGCCAAAGAUGAAACGUUAAAAGCAAGCGUUUUGGGGUGGAAUUGAUGAAGCCAAAUCGCCGCGGCAUAAAACCCUUCUUUGUCAGAUUUUCCGGUGCCACGAACACCCCUAAGAUUACAUAUAAGCUUAAGGGUGGUCAAGGGGUUGUACUGCCAUGCAUCGUGGAGCUUCUCCCUAAUGGAUUGGGGAGGGGUAUUGGGUACGACAUGGAAGAAGAAAUCAAGGCAAGGAUUGCCCGAUGAGAGAUAUGUCGCCGAACAAUUCUCAGUGUAACCCAUUGGUGGAGAUUGCAUUGGAUCAAUGGUAGUUUUAUUGAAAUUGGCCACCAUGAGAUCCAUGAACGGAUCACUAACGCCAUCUGUAGCUUCGCUUGGGGGUGGUUUUGCUAGAAGAGUUGGGUUGUGGAGCUCUGGAGGACCGAGGAGAGAUGUCAUUGCCAUUUAUGUAGCGUUUUUGGAUAUUUUUACUAGGGUUUUGGUGUGGGGGUCUGAUAGCAUUUAUCGAGUGUGUUUUGUAAUGAUUUCG
Molecule: unclassified non-coding RNA, 2313 nt
Filed under: Hevea brasiliensis (rubber tree)
Lineage: Eukaryota; Viridiplantae; Streptophyta; Magnoliopsida; Malpighiales; Euphorbiaceae
Source: RNAcentral